This 516-nucleotide ribosomal RNA is filed under the name uncultured bacterium. Its description in RNAcentral is "bacterial SSU rRNA". It matches the Rfam family "Bacterial small subunit ribosomal RNA", at positions 994 to 1509 of the family's 1533-position model. The record is from RNAcentral.
AACUUAGCAGAGAUGCUUUGGUGCCUUCGGGAACUCUGAGACAGGUGCUGCAUGGCUGUCGUCAGCUCGUGUUGUGAAAUGUUGGGUUAAGUCCCGCAACGAGCGCAACCCUUAUCCCUUUGUUGCCAGCGGCUCGGCCGGGAACUCAAAGGAGACUGCCGGUGAUAAACCGGAGGAAGGUGGGGAUGACGUCAAGUCAUCAUGGCCCUUACGGCCAGGGCUACACACGUGCUACAAUGGCGCAUACAAAGAGAAGCGACCUCGCGAGAGCAAGCGGACCUCAUAAAGUGCGUCGUAGUCCGGAUUGGAGUCUGCAACUCGACUCCAUGAAGUCGGAAUCGCUAGUAAUCGUAGAUCAGAAUGCUACGGUGAAUACGUUCCCGGGCCUUGUACACACCGCCCGUCACACCAUGGGAGUGGGUUGCAAAAGAAGUAGGUAGCUUAACCUUCGGGAGGGCGCUUACCACUUUGUGAUUCAUGACUGGGGUGAAGUCGUAACAAGGUAAGCGUAGCGAG